Molecule: non-coding RNA, 1672 nt
Organism: Gasterosteus aculeatus aculeatus (three-spined stickleback)
Lineage: Eukaryota; Metazoa; Chordata; Actinopteri; Perciformes; Gasterosteidae
Source: RefSeq, a predicted model, not a curated record
AUUAUCAGGAAACAUUUAUUAGCCAAAAUAUGUCAAACAUACAAGGAAUUUGUCUUGGCGGUUAUGGAGUUGCUGUCAUGCUGUAUGCUUGUCCCUUUCUGUGUUGGAGUCUGACUGGAGAAUCCCGUGAGCUGGUGGGUGUAUUUAUUCUCAAUUCUUAGGGAAAUGGUUUUGCCUUUAGUGAACUUUCUGUUUGCGUCUUGUUAAGUUGAAUCGUCACUACGCUUCCCAGAGUGCACCAGCAGAAAUCACUAAUUGUGGAGCACCUGUGUAGAGGUCCUCAUUCCCUUUUUAAACAGGCACAGGGGAGAAGAGACACAAGUUACUCUACGGUUCGGUCCAAAGACGCCAAUGGUUUACAACCUAACUCUGAACUGGCAAAUCAAUGGACAAAGGCAAAAGAAAAAUUUAAAUAAAAGUGAUUGAGCCAGAAACUUUGAGUUGUCCUCGUGUCCUUUGGAUUGUGAGGUGGAGAUAACUUGACACGUCUCCCAGCUCGUCACGAAGGCCCAAACCAUGUGUGAGCUGACUCUGGUGGAAGAGGCUCAAACUCCAGGCUGGGAUUAGAAGCCAGUUUCCUUUGUGUUGCUAUAUUCAGUUCCUGUCUGGAGCUUCUUCAUGUUGGUGGUAUUCGUUAGAUUCCAGAAGAUUACUUUUGACUGCUAUGGCUGGUUCGACACCUGCAGAAUCAAGGGGAACAUUGAAAAACUAACACUUCCAAAUGGCAUGCCAGAGUCACUAGAUUAUCUUCACUGCAAGAUGAAGACAACCUUUAGGUUAAAGGGCCUCCUCUGACUUCAAUACAUGGCCAAAGAUGUUUGAAAUUCUUUUUAAAUCUCAAUUCUACCACUGGAUUUCAUGGACUAGUAAGAAGCCAAAUGGGUUGGUUGAUUUGUAAAAUGUUUGCCCUACCUCUGUGGAUUGCCCGCAAGAUAUUUCGUAACCCGGUUUUAUAAAUUGUUGCAGAUAAUUUAAUUUUUUUAAAAAUAUUUUGUUGUCAUUUACUCAUUUCAGUUGGUUCAAUAUGCGUUGGGCAAGAAACCUGGUGGAGACCGUGGUACCAUGAGUACAAACAAAAGGUUUGACUGACUUGCACUAUUAACAAGUACACUACUAAAGAGACACUGCUCAUAUAGAUUUUAACUGUUUGAAUUGCUUGGUGAUUUAUGGUAAUUGUGAUGUUUGUUCCAUAGUGCAAGUGAAUCUUAUGUGUACCCUGUAAAAAUGCACUUUAAAUACACAUUUCUGUGACAGUAAUUAAAACUCAUUUUAAAUUUGUAUUUAAAGAGCAAUUUUUCCAUUAACUAAACCGGAGUUUGUUGCACAAUAUAUCACAAGUGGUUGUUUUGAAAAUAUCUAACUAUUUAUUUGAAUAGUUGCUUAAAUAUUUCUCCUGCAGAUGUUUUGAACUGGACAAAGAAAAGUCAACCUCCUCAUAGUGCUGUACACUUCAGUGUAACCCCAACACUGUAGGUUAAGACCUUAUGUUUACUGGCUUAGUGUUGCAAUGUACUCCAAUUUUACAGUCAAAUUUACUGUGUACCUGGAAUGUAAUUUUGGCAGUGAAUUUAUAAAAUGUCAAUGUAUUCUAGAGGAGAGAGAGAGAAGAUGGGCGAGGCCUGGGCUCUCCAUAAAGGUAUUUUUUUUUUUUAUAUAUAAUGCUUGUCGUACA